RNAcentral lists this long non-coding RNA (307 nucleotides) under Homo sapiens (human). RNAcentral's name for it is "non-protein coding lnc-MAP2K6-8:2". Lineage: Eukaryota; Metazoa; Chordata; Mammalia; Primates; Hominidae. The record is from RNAcentral.
UUUGGCUGUUGCUUCUGCGCUAGUACCUACAUUUCCUGUUCAACCCCCUAACCAACCCCCACCCUGGCCCCUUCCGAUUCUGCUCAGGAAAAUUCAUGCUCAAAGUUAUUACAAAAUUCAGCUAGGAGCUUCCUUCACUCUGUGGCCCCUCCCCUAUUUUAUUACCUUUAAUAACAUUAUAGAAAGCAUUCUUAUUGGGCUGAUGUUUCGACAAAAGGGAGAGAAUAAGAAAUAAUCCAUUAACUUCAUAUUGUGUUUCCUUCUUCAUAUUUUUGAGAUUCGGAAGAACAACUAUACUUGAGCCAAA